AACGAACGCUGGCGGCAUGCUUAACACAUGCAAGUCGAGCGGAGUCAGUAAGAGGAAGUUUUCGGAUGGAAUCUUAUUGAUUUAGCGGCGGACGGGUGAGUAACGCGUGAGCGACCAACCUUGCACAGGGGGAUAACGGACCGAAAGGUUCACUAAUACCGCACGAGACCACGGUGUUGCAUGACACAGUGGUCAAAGGAGCAAUCCGGUGCAAGACGGGCUCGCGUCCGAUUAGGUAGUUGGAGGGGUAACGGCCCACCAAGCCUAUGAUCGGUAGCCGACCUGAGAGGGUGAUCGGCCGCAUUGGAACUGAGAUACGGUCCAAACUCCUACGGGAGGCAGCAGUGGGGAAUAUUGGGCAAUGGGGGAAACCCUGACCCAGCAACGCCGCGUGAAGGAAGAAGGUUUUCGGAUUGUAAACUUCUGUCCUUGGUGAAGAGAAGAAGACGGUAGCCAAGGAGGAAGCCCCGGCUAACUACGUGCCAGCAGCCGCGGUAA
RNAcentral lists this ribosomal RNA (498 nucleotides) under uncultured bacterium. RNAcentral describes it as "partial 16S ribosomal RNA". It matches the Rfam family "Bacterial small subunit ribosomal RNA", at positions 29 to 523 of the family's 1533-position model. The record is from RNAcentral.